This 497-nucleotide ribosomal RNA is filed under the name uncultured bacterium. Its description in RNAcentral is "partial 16S ribosomal RNA". It matches the Rfam family "Bacterial small subunit ribosomal RNA", at positions 28 to 507 of the family's 1533-position model. The record is from RNAcentral.
GAUGAACGCUGGCGGCGUGCCUAAUACAUGCGAGUCGAGCGAACAGACGAGGAGCUUGCUCCUCUGACGUUAGCGGCGGACGGGUGAGUAACACGUGGAUAACCUACCUAUAAGACUGGGAUAACUUCGGGAAACCGGAGCUAAUACCGGAUAAUAUAUUGAACCGCAUGGUUCAAUAGUGAAAGACGGUUUUGCUGUCACUUAUAGAUGGAUCCGCGCCGCAUUAGCUAGUUGGUAAGGUAACGGCUUACCAAGGCGACGAUGCGUAGCCGACCUGAGAGGGUGAUCGGCCACACUGGAACUGAGACACGGUCCAGACUCCUACGGGAGGCAGCAGUAGGGAAUCUUCUGCAAUGGGCGAAAGCCUGACGGAGCAACGCCGCGUGAGUGAUGAAGGUCUUCGGAUCGUAAAACUCUGUUAUUAGGGAAGAACAAAUGUGUAAGUAACUAUGCACGUCUUGACGGUACCUAAUCAGAAAGCCACGGCUAACUACGUG